Molecule: ribosomal RNA, 207 nt
Filed under: uncultured bacterium
Lineage: Bacteria
Description: partial 16S ribosomal RNA
Rfam family: Bacterial small subunit ribosomal RNA
Source: RNAcentral
GACGAACGCUGGCGGCGUGCUUAACACAUGCAAGUCGAGCGGUAAGGCCUUUCGGGGUACACGAGCGGCGAACGGGUGAGUAACACGUGGGUGACCUGCCCUGCACUUCGGGAUAAGCCUGGGAAACUGGGUCUAAUACCGGAUGGGACCAUUCCAUGCAUGUGGGUGGUGGAAAGUCGGUGCUGUUGUGGUGUCGGCGGUGGGAGU